This 263-nucleotide long non-coding RNA is filed under the name Notechis scutatus (mainland tiger snake). Its description in RNAcentral is "lncRNA (ENSNSUG00000013144.1)". The record is from RNAcentral. Lineage: Eukaryota; Metazoa; Chordata; Lepidosauria; Squamata; Elapidae.
GCUCGAGAUCUUCCCUUUCUGCCAACCCUGCCCGGCUGCUGGGUUUCCAGCCUUCCCUGAUCAUGUAGAAAGGAGAGAAAGUGAGAAAGGGAAUUUGUCAGAAUUUUCAUUUUGCUGACAGUGAAUUUCUGAGUCUUAAAAGAGUGCAAGAAUGGUUUAUCAUCCAAGGCUCACAGUCAGCCAGAAACAUAUUCCAAUGAGCCAUGGACAUGGAGGAUUUUUUAAGGUAUAUUUAUUUAUAUAUUACUUAAAAUCUUUCCUUA